GACGAACGCUGGCGGCGUGCUUAACACAUGCAAGUCGAACGGAAGGGCCCUGCUUUUGUGGGGUGCUCGAGUGGCGAACGGGUGAGUAACACGUGAGUAAACUGCCCUUGACUUUCGGGUAACUUCAGGAAACUGGGGCUAAUACCCGAUAGGAGCUCCUGCUGCAUGGUGGGGGAUGGAGAGUUUCGGCGGUUGGGGCUGGACUAGCGGGUUAUCAGCUUGUUGGUGUGGUAGUUGCUUACCAAGCCUGCGAAGGAUAGCCGGCCUGGGAGGGUGACCGGCCACAUUGGGACUGAGGGACGGACCAGACUCCAACGGGCGGCAGCGGUGGGGAAUAUGGCACAAUGGGCGGAAGCCUGAUGCAGCAACGCCGCGUGCGGGAUGACGGCCUUCGGGUGAUGAACCGAUUUCGCCGGUGACGAAGCGUGAGUGACGGUAAUGGGUAAAGAAGCACCGGCUAACUACGUG
RNAcentral lists this ribosomal RNA (468 nucleotides) under uncultured bacterium. RNAcentral describes it as "partial 16S ribosomal RNA". It matches the Rfam family "Bacterial small subunit ribosomal RNA", at positions 28 to 507 of the family's 1533-position model. The record is from RNAcentral.